AAGGAGAACCUGGACUGAUUGUUGCUUUGCACCUUCCUGGAACUUGGUGAUUGUUUGUCAGUUUCACCCAAAAGCUUGGCCAAAUUCUGGGAUGUUAAUGUGUUGUCCCACAUAUUGAAGUCCAUUGACAAUAUAUUUGAGAUUAUGCUAUUCUCACCGUUAUCUACAAAACCAUUGCUAUUGGCAUUCCGUAUGUCACCAGAU
This 204-nucleotide unclassified non-coding RNA is filed under the name Hevea brasiliensis (rubber tree). The record is from RNAcentral. Lineage: Eukaryota; Viridiplantae; Streptophyta; Magnoliopsida; Malpighiales; Euphorbiaceae.